CCUCUCCCAGGAUCACACCUGGAGAGUUUCCAAUACUCUACCAGUCUUGGCUACAGGUGGGAGAAUCAAGCAGAGGCCUUCCCAUUCCACUGUUAGCUAGGGCAUUGGCUAGCAAGUGGAAGGCAAUCUGCUACAAGU
Tachyglossus aculeatus (Australian echidna) is the source of this 138-nucleotide small nucleolar RNA. The record is from RefSeq and is a predicted model, not a curated record. Lineage: Eukaryota; Metazoa; Chordata; Mammalia; Monotremata; Tachyglossidae.